CCCUUAGAUGUUCUGGGCCGCACACGCGCUACACUGAAGGAGGCAGCGUGUACUCCUGGAUCGAAAGAUUUGGGUAACCCGCGAAUCUCCUUCGUGCUAGGGAUUGAGGUUUGCAAUUAUUCUUCAUGAACGAGGAAUUCCCAGUAAGUGCAAGUCAUAAGCUUGCGCUGACUACGUCCCUGCCCUUUGUACACACCGCCCGUCGCUACUACCGAUUGAAUGAUUUAGUGAGGACUUCGGACUGGGACCGAUGCGGCUUUCGGGCUGCGUCGGUAUUCUGGAAAGAUGUCCAAACUGUAUCAUUUAGAGGAAGUAAAANUCGUAACA
This 327-nucleotide ribosomal RNA is filed under the name uncultured eukaryote. RNAcentral describes it as "partial 18S ribosomal RNA". It matches the Rfam family "Eukaryotic small subunit ribosomal RNA", at positions 1470 to 1796 of the family's 1831-position model. The record is from RNAcentral.